Molecule: ribosomal RNA, 234 nt
Filed under: uncultured bacterium
Lineage: Bacteria
Description: partial 16S ribosomal RNA
Rfam family: Bacterial small subunit ribosomal RNA
Source: RNAcentral
UGAGCAAUCUGCCCUUCUCUUCGGAAUAAGCGUGGGAAACCGCGUCUAAUGCCGAAUACGACCUCCUUUCGCAUGAUCGGAGGUGGAAAGCUCCGGCGGAGAAGGAUGAGCUCGCGGCCUAUCAGCUAGUUGGUGUGGGUAAUGGCCCACCAAGGCGACGACGGGUAGCCGGCCUGAGAGGGUGACCGGCCACACUGGGACUGAGACACGGCCAGACUCCUACGGGAGGCAGCG